CCUACGGGGGGCAGCAGUGGGGAAUAUUGGACAAUGGGGGCAACCCUGAUCCAGCCAUGCCGCGUGUGUGAAGAAGGCCCUCGGGUUGUAAAGCACUUUCAGUGAGGAAGAACGCCUGGUGGUUAAUACCCAUCAGGAAAGACAUCACUCACAGAAGAAGCACCGGCUAACUCCGUGCCAGCAGCCGCGGUAAUACGGAGGGUGCGAGCGUUAAUCGGAAUUACUGGGCGUAAAGCGCGCGUAGGUGGCUUGAUAAGCCGGUUGUGAAAGCCCCGGGCUCAACCUGGGAACGGCAUCCGGAACUGUCAAGCUAGAGUGCAGGAGAGGAAGGUAGAAUUCCCGGUGUAGCGGUGAAAUGCGUAGAGAUCGGGAGGAAUACCAGUGGCGAAGGCGGCCUUCUGGACUGACACUGACACUGAGGUGCGAAAGCGUGGGUAGCAAACAGGAUUAGAUACCCGAGUAGCC
Molecule: ribosomal RNA, 465 nt
Filed under: Vreelandella stevensii
Lineage: Bacteria; Pseudomonadati; Pseudomonadota; Gammaproteobacteria; Oceanospirillales; Halomonadaceae
Description: partial 16S ribosomal RNA
Rfam family: Bacterial small subunit ribosomal RNA
Source: RNAcentral